Molecule: non-coding RNA, 72 nt
Organism: Dermatophagoides pteronyssinus (European house dust mite)
Lineage: Eukaryota; Metazoa; Arthropoda; Arachnida; Sarcoptiformes; Pyroglyphidae
Source: the annotation of a RefSeq genome assembly
GGGGAUGUAGCUCAGUGGUAGAGCGUGUGCUUUGCAUGUAUAAGGUCGAGGGUUCAAACCCCUCCAUCUCCA